RNAcentral lists this ribosomal RNA (281 nucleotides) under uncultured prokaryote. RNAcentral describes it as "partial 16S ribosomal RNA". It matches the Rfam family "Bacterial small subunit ribosomal RNA", at positions 524 to 803 of the family's 1533-position model. The record is from RNAcentral.
UACGUAGGGGGCAAGCGUUAUCCGGAAUUAUUGGGCGUAAAGAGUGCGUAGGUGGUUACCUAAGCGCAAGGUUUAAUCUUGAGGCUCAACCUCAUUUUGCCUUGCGAACUGGGCUACUUGAGUGCAGGAGGGGAAAGCGGAAUUCCUAGUGUAGCGGUGAAAUGCGUAGAUAUUAGGAAGAACACCGGUGGCGAAGGCGGCUUUCUGGACUGUAACUGACACUGAGGCACGAAAGCGUGGGGAGCAAACAGGAUUAGAUACCCCGGUAGUCCCUGAGCGGG